CUACGGGCCGCUGCAGUGAGGAAUUUUGCGCAAUGGGGGAAACCCUGACGCAGCAACGCCGCGUGAGUGAAGAAGGCCUUUGGGUCGUAAAGCUCUGUCAACAGGGAAGAAGUUACAAUUGUUUAAUAGAUGAUUGUAUUGACGGUACCUGUGGAGGAAGCGCCGGCUAACUCCGUGCCAGCAGCCGCGGUAACACGGGGGGCGCAAGCGUUAUUCGGAAUUAUUGGGCGUAAAGGGCGCGCAGGCGGUCUUGUCCGUCAGGUGUGAAAGCUCGGGGCUCAACCCCGGAAGUGCACUUGAAACAGCAAGACUUGAAUACGGGAGAGGAAAGCGGAAUUCCUGGUGUAGAGGAGAAAUUCGUAGAUAUCAGGAGGAACACCGAUGGCGAAGGCAGCUUUCUGGACCGAUAUUGACGCUGAGGCGCGAAGGCGUGGGGAGCGAACGGGAUUAGAUACCCUGGUAGUC
Molecule: ribosomal RNA, 465 nt
Filed under: uncultured bacterium
Lineage: Bacteria
Description: partial 16S ribosomal RNA
Rfam family: Bacterial small subunit ribosomal RNA
Source: RNAcentral